Molecule: ribosomal RNA, 408 nt
Filed under: uncultured bacterium
Lineage: Bacteria
Description: partial 16S ribosomal RNA
Rfam family: Bacterial small subunit ribosomal RNA
Source: RNAcentral
GACGAACGCUGGCGGCGUGCUUAACACAUGCAAGUCGAACGAAGUGGCGAACGGGUGAGUAACGCGUAAUCAACCUGCCCUUCAGAGGGGGACAACAGUUGGAAACGACUGCUAAUCCCGCAUACUGAAGGAGGGGAUUGUGUCUGAUUAGCUAGUUGGGGGGGUAACGGCCCACCAAGGCGAUGCUCAGUAGCCGGUCUGAGAGGGUGGACGGCCACAUUGGGACUGAGACACGGCCCAGAAUCCUACGGGAGGCAGCAGUGGGGAAACUUCCGCAAUGGACGAAAGUCUGACGGCGCAACGCCGGGGGAGUGAUGACGGCCUUCGGGUUGUAAAGCUCUGUUAAUCGGGACGCGGUACCGGAAUAGAAAGCAACGGCUAACUACGUGCCAGCAGCCGCGGUAAUUC